Molecule: ribosomal RNA, 619 nt
Filed under: uncultured bacterium
Lineage: Bacteria
Description: bacterial SSU rRNA
Rfam family: Bacterial small subunit ribosomal RNA
Source: RNAcentral
CCUACGGGAGGCAGCAGUGGGGAAUUUUGGACAAUGGGCGAAAGCCUGAUCCAGCAAUGCCGCGUGAGUGAAGAAGGCCUUCGGGUUGUAAAGCUCUUUUGUCAGGGAAGAAACGGUGAGAGCUAAUAUCUCUUGCUAAUGACGGUACCUGAAGAAUAAGCACCGGCUAACUACGUGCCAGCAGCCGCGGUAAUACGUAGGGUGCAAGCGUUAAUCGGAAUUACUGGGCGUAAAGCGUGCGCAGGCGGUUUUGUAAGUCUGAUGUGAAAUCCCCGGGCUCAACCUGGGAAUUGCAUUGGAGACUGCAAGGCUAGAAUCUGGCAGAGGGGGGUAGAAUUCCACGUGUAGCAGUGAAAUGCGUAGAUAUGUGGAGGAACACCGAUGGCGAAGGCAGCCCCCUGGGUCAAGAUUGACGCUCAUGCACGAAAGCGUGGGGAGCAAACAGGAUUAGAUACCCUGGUAGUCCACGCCCUAAACGAUGUCUACUAGUUGUCGGGUCUUAAUUGACUUGGUAACGCAGCUAACGCGUGAAGUAGACCGCCUGGGGAGUACGGUGCAAGNUUAAAACUCAAAGGAUUGACCGGNGUAGAGAGNGCGAGGACGACGACGAGGGAGGNGG